GACGAACGCUGGCGGCGUGCUUAACACAUGCAAGUCGAGCGAGGGGAAGCGACAGCAAUGGAGUUUACUCGAGCGGCGGACGGGUGAGUAACGCGUGAGCAAUCUGUCCUUGACGGCGGGAUACCAAUUGGAAACAGUUGUUAAUACCGCAUAGGACCACAGUGCCGCAUGGCACAGGGGUGAAAGGAGGAAUCCGGUCAGGGGGGAACUCGCGUCCUAUUAGGUAGUUGGUGAGGUAACGGCCCACCAAGCCAGCGAUAGGUAGCCGACCUGAGAGGGUGAUCGGCCACACUGGAAUUGAGAGACGGUCCAGACUCCUACGGGAGGCAGCAGUGGGGAAUAUUGGGCAAUGGGCGAAAGCCUGACCCAGCAACGCCGCGUGAGGGAAGAAGGUUUUCGGAUUGUAAACCUCUGUCCCAAGAGAAGAGGGAAAGACGGUAUCUUGGGAGGAAGCCCCGGCUAACUACGUGCCAGCAGCCGCGGUAAUACGUAGGGGGCGAGCGUUGUCCGGAAUGAUUGGGCGUAAAGGGCGCGUAGGCGGCUAUUUAAGUCUGGAGUGAAAGUCCUGCUUUCAAGGUGGGAAUUGCUUUGGAAACUGGAUGGCUUGAGUGCAGGAGAGGUUAUCGGAAUUCCCGGUGUAGCGGUGAAAUGCGUAGAGAUCGGGAGGAACACCAGUGGCGAAGGCGGGUAACUGGACUGCAACUGACGCUGAGGCGCGAAAGUGUGGGGAGCAAACAGGAUUAGAUACCCUGGUAGUCCACACUGUAAACGAUGAAUGCUAGGUGUAGGGGGUAUCGACCCCUUCUGUGCCGGAGUAAACACAAUAAGCAUUCCGCCUGGGGAGUACGGCCGCAAGGUUGAAACUCAAAGGAAUUGACGGGGGCCCGCACAAGCAGCGGAGCAUGUGGUUUAAUUCGAAGCAACGCGAAGAACCUUACCAGGUCUUGACAUCCAGUUAAGACUGCUGAGAGACAGAGAGCCUUCGGGCAAACUGAGACAGGUGGUGCAUGGUUGUCGUCAGCUCGUGUCGUGAGAUGUUGGGUUAAGUCCCGCAACGAGCGCAACCCUUGUCAUUAGUUGCUACAUUCAGUUGGGCACUCUAAUGAGACUGCCGGUGACAAGCCGGAGGAAGGUGGGGAUGACGUCAAGUCCUCAUGGCCCUUAUAGGUGGGGCUACACACGUCAUACAAUGGCUGGUACAAAGGGUUGCCAACCCGCGAGGGGGAGCCAAUCCCAUAAAGCCAGUCGUAGUCCGGAUCGUAGUCUGCAACUCGACUACGUGAAGUCGGAAUCGCUAGUAAUCGUGGAUCAGAAUGUCACGGUGAAUACGUUCCCGGGUCUUGUACACACCGCCCGUCACACCAUGGGAGCGGGUUCUGCCAGAAGUAGUUAGCCUAACCGCAAGGAGGGCGAUUACCACGGCAGGGUUCGUGACUGGGGUGAAGUCGUAACAAGGUAGCCGUAUCGGAAGG
This 1472-nucleotide ribosomal RNA is filed under the name uncultured bacterium. RNAcentral's name for it is "bacterial SSU rRNA". It matches the Rfam family "Bacterial small subunit ribosomal RNA". The record is from RNAcentral.